RNAcentral lists this unclassified non-coding RNA (331 nucleotides) under Hevea brasiliensis (rubber tree). Lineage: Eukaryota; Viridiplantae; Streptophyta; Magnoliopsida; Malpighiales; Euphorbiaceae. The record is from RNAcentral.
AAAACUCACCGGAUGUUAGUAUGAGUGAGAAACAUGUUAAAGUCCAGCAAGAGGGAACAAGUGAGAAGCUAAGUAGCAGUUCUCACAAAAGUGUAGAGUACAUCAGAGGAAGUGGCCAGAAUGUGAGUGAAUGUAAGGCUACUGUGAAAUUAAGUGGUGGAAGGAGAAAAUUAAAUGAUCAAAAGAGAUGUAUAAAUACUGAUUCUAGACAUAUUGAUUUAGAGUUGAUGGUAGAAUCUGAGAUUGAAGAAUGUGAGGGAGGACUUUGGGAUGUUGUUGAUGAAACAGGAAAUGGACAGAGAGUGAAUGAGAUACUCAAGCAGGAAACGAA